This 349-nucleotide ribosomal RNA is filed under the name uncultured bacterium. RNAcentral's name for it is "bacterial SSU rRNA". It matches the Rfam family "Bacterial small subunit ribosomal RNA", at positions 355 to 700 of the family's 1533-position model. The record is from RNAcentral.
UGAGGAAUAUUGGACAAUGGGGGCGAACUCUGAUCCAGCCAUGCCGCGUGAAGGACUAAGGCCCUAUGGGCUGUAAACUUCUUUAGACGCAGAGCAAUAAGGGCCACGCGUGGUCCGAUGAGAGUAUGCGUAGAAUAAGCAUCGGCUAACUCCGUGCCAGCAGCCGCGGUAAUACGGGGGGAUGCGAGCGUUAUCCGGAUUUAUUGGGUUUAAAGGGUGCGCAGGCGGCGCGCCAAGUCAGCGGUCAAAGUUCCGGGCUCAACCCGGUGUCGCCGUUGAAACUGGCGUGCUCGAGUGCGUGCGAGGAAGGCGGAAUGCGUUGUGUAGCGGUGAAAUGCAUAGAUAUGAC